Molecule: unclassified non-coding RNA, 500 nt
Filed under: uncultured Glomeromycotina
Lineage: Eukaryota; Fungi; Glomeromycota
Description: SSU rRNA
Rfam family: Eukaryotic small subunit ribosomal RNA
Source: RNAcentral
CCAAUAGCGUAUAUUAAAGUUGUUGCAGUUAAAAAGCUCGUAGUUGAAUUUCGGGGUUAGUAGAUUGGUCAUGCCAUCGGUAUGUACUGGUCUCACUGAUUCCUCCUUCCUGAUGAGCCGUAAUGCCAUUAAUUUGGUGUUGCGGGGAAUUUGGACUGUUACUUUGAAAAAAUUAGAGUGUUUAAAGCAAGCUAACGCUUGAAUACAUUAGCAUGGAAUAAUGAAAUAGGACGUUCGAUCCUAUUUUGUUGGUUUCUAGGAUUGACGUAAUGAUUAAUAGGGAUAGUUGGGGGCAUUAGUAUUCAAUUGUCAGAGGUGAAAUUCUUGGAUUUAUUGAAGACUAACUACUGCGAAAGCAUUUGCCAAGGAUGUUUUCAUUAAUCAAGAACGAAAGUUAGGGGAUCGAAGACGAUCAGAUACCGUCGUAGUCUUAACCAUAAACUAUGCCGACUAGGGAUCGGAUGAUGUUAAUUUUUUAAUGACUCAUUCGGCGCCUUACG